This 2505-nucleotide ribosomal RNA is filed under the name Triticum aestivum (bread wheat). RNAcentral describes it as "partial small subunit ribosomal RNA". Lineage: Eukaryota; Viridiplantae; Streptophyta; Magnoliopsida; Poales; Poaceae. The record is from RNAcentral.
ACGGGUCAAAGAUCGAACGAACAAAAGGAUGAAGAAACGUGUAGUGCUACCUCAUGCUCUUGUCUCCCGUGCAACGGCGGUUGCUGCUACCGAACACGCAGCACGUCGGACGCGCCCGACUGGGCGACUUGACCCCCUUCCGCCGUCUCCUCGACAGGCCCUCGGUAGAUCUGCGCCACUUCGCCUACCAGCUCCUCAUGGCGUCCGGCCACCACUGGUACCUCCCGCGGUCGGACUGGUAGCGGUACCAGCGGCGCCACCGGCGGCCGUCGCUGUGGUCCCACCUCGAGCUGCUCAGGCGGGCGCCGGCGCAGUUCCUCUCGUCGCUGACCCAGUACUUGUCGUACCGGUUACCUUGGCUGUCGAUGCCGCAGUGGUGACCGAAGCCGCGGUGGAGAGUGGCCUCCUGGUUCCUCCCGCCGCGAGACGUCUCCCUCGAGUAGUCUAAGGAAUUACGGCCUCGCAAGCCGUUACCACCGGUGCUUGUACAAGACGGACGACGUCGCUGUUCCCGCCGGUACGAGCAGGCACAGUUGUGAGACGAGGUCCCCAUGAGGCCGUAGGCGAAACUCUAGGAGCUCUGCCAACGACGCGAAGAGUUGCGGUUGCACUGUGGUACGGACGGCGAGGCCCCGUGCUAGUGGCGGAGGCCGCUGGAGCAGGGCGAAAGGAUAUAGCGUCCGGACCACUGACCAGCCCGUUUGAGGCACCGGUGACGAGGUCUACCGUCGUUCCAAUUGCGACGCCUCCGCAAGUUCUAGCGGCCGUAGGUCGUACCGAAGAAACUCGACGUCGGGUUCCUCCCCGAACGGUACCACUUACCGUGCCGUCACCCGAGACCCGAACGUAGGUACCACGAAAAGCUCCGAUUGUAGGAGUCGGAGGAACGGCUCCAAGAUAGCCGACAGAAGACGCUCCAGUACUUGCCGUUCGGCCUCAUGUGGCUGGUGAACUGGGUGUUCGACUUCGUGGUGGGACCCGUCUAGCUCCGGCGGCGGUAGUACCUCGUGUAGGAACUUCCUUCGAGGAUAUACCGUGAGCGCUUCUUCGAGCCACUCGAACUGGGCAACUACUUCGGUUUCGUUCUAUCCAUACGCGAGGCGUGUAGCGGCGUCACCGAACCGGGGGUCUAACUCCAUUAGGCACGACGUUGGUUCAGCUAACUCUCCCUCUAGUUGAGACAGUUGCUGUUGGGUGAGUAGCUGCAGAGAGCACCGUUCCGGUAGGUGCCCCCGUUGAAGGUCCCAUGCGGAUAGCCGCACAGGUACCUGUUGUGGUCCGAACGUUAACGACGCUAGCCCUUCGAGUACAAACGGGUCAAGAGCCUCGACCACUUGCUGGAGAUGUUGUUGCCAAACGGAAGGUUGGAGAGGCCGCCCGCGUUAGGCUCAAACCUGAUACCGAAGUUCCCUCGACUCUAACGGUACCGGAGUAUGACGAGACUCGAGGUCAAGAAUCCGUUGGGCCACUGGUUGGUACAGGUCUCGCGGCUCGUUGUGUUAGUUCUACAGUUGAGAGAACCAGAGUAGAGGAGGUCCUUCUGGCGACUCCGGUAACUGUAUGAGUUCGAGUACAGGAGGUGUAAGUACCAGCGGAACACGGUCCGGUAGCUGGAGGCGGUAGACCUCCUCUUACAAUUCCUACGGCAGUUCUCGACACACUUCUACUGCCGGUCCUUCUGUAACUCGUGGUGGUUGUUACCCGUGGAGGUGUUACGCGCUAAGACGCUCUUCCUGGACGACGAGUGCUAACUGGCACUCCGCCACAAGCGCAUACGUCUGCUGGGAACGUCGCGGUUGAUGGGCGACUACGUCUUCUACGCACGCCAAGAGCACCUCGUGCGGAACCGGUUACCACUCCGGCUCGUGCUGUACCUCUGUAGACAGAAACGGUUCGAACGGCGGAAGCUCGUCCUCGAGGCACGUCACAAUGGUUUCCUCCAACUCCGACGGGCCAGGAGGCACCUCUUGCCGUGGCGGUGUGUCGUAUUGGCAUAGUGGCCUACGGCCAGUAUGGGCGAGAUGUCCAAGCACGCGUUCCUCGAACCCUGACUCAUGAACUGACCCCUCUUCUGUGCCAGAGGACCCCUUCUCCACCUGUUCCACAAACAGCGGUACUUGGUCCCGUUCGUGUAGCUGCGCGACGACCUCACGGAUCUUCUCACCUUGCCACUCGGGAACGGAGAGACGACUUGUCUCCUAGUUCUUUGACUUCUCUUCUGACACACGUCUUCCGAGACAUAGAAGAAUCGACUAUUCACCAUUAUAAAAAAGUUAACAUAAAAGAAUUCUUAGCUACAAAACACCCUACCUUGUAAGAAAGCCUCGACGGUACAACAAAGGUUUUUAACGUUGACGUAUUGAACAUGUUGAAGAUACUACAUUCAAUAUCUUCCCAUGACACAUACUAUUAUAAACACUAUUUACAUAACCAGAAAAAAAUGUUGUCAACAGACCACCUCUAGUUGUGGCUUGUCCUAAUUAUACUACACUACGGAAGAUAAUU